CAAUAGCGUAUAUUUAAGUUGCUGCAGUUAAAAAGCUCGUAGUUGGAUUUCGGGUGGGAAUGGCCGGUCCGCCGUUUCGGUGUGCACUUGCUACGCCCACCUUGCUGCCGGGGACGUGCUCUUGAGUUCACGCUCGGGACACGGAGUCGGCGAGGUUACUUUGAGUAAAUUAGAGUGUUCAAAGCAGGCCUACGCUCUGAAUACAUUAGCAUGGAAUAACACGAUAGGACUCUGGCCUAUCUUGUUGGUCUGUAGGACCGGAGUAAUGAUUAAGAGGGACAGUCGGGGGCAUUCGUAUUUCAUUGUCAGAGGUGAAAUUCUUGGAUUUGUUGAAGACGAUCUACUGCGAAAGCAUUUGCCAGGGAUGUUUUCAUUGA
Molecule: ribosomal RNA, 377 nt
Filed under: uncultured eukaryote
Lineage: Eukaryota
Description: partial 18S ribosomal RNA
Rfam family: Eukaryotic small subunit ribosomal RNA
Source: RNAcentral